AAUAAUCUUCAGGGCGGGGUGUAAGUCCCCACCGGCGGUAAAGCCCGCGAGCCGAAAGGUUGAUCUGGUUAGAUUCCAGAGCCGACAGUAUAGUCUGGAUGAAAGAAGAGGUUU
This 114-nucleotide non-coding RNA is filed under the name Fusibacter sp. 3D3. RNAcentral's name for it is "Fusibacter sp. 3-D3-R-P8ASC2010 FMN riboswitch aptamer (RFN element)". It matches the Rfam family "FMN riboswitch aptamer (RFN element)". From Rfam's summary of the family: The RFN element is a highly conserved domain that is found frequently in the 5'-untranslated regions of prokaryotic mRNAs that encode for flavin mononucleotide (FMN) biosynthesis and transport proteins. This element is a metabolite-dependent riboswitch that directly binds FMN in the absence of proteins. Lineage: Bacteria; Bacillati; Bacillota; Clostridia; Eubacteriales; Fusibacteraceae. RNAcentral also lists the same sequence under 1 other name. The record is from Rfam by way of RNAcentral.